Molecule: non-coding RNA, 5388 nt
Organism: Pogona vitticeps (central bearded dragon)
Lineage: Eukaryota; Metazoa; Chordata; Lepidosauria; Squamata; Agamidae
Source: RefSeq, a predicted model, not a curated record
UUUUAGCUUGCAGUUAUGUCGUAUGCUUUCUGAAAAUUCAACUUUUAGAGGUAUCCAGCAGGCCUUGUAUGAGCUUGCAUAUCAUGUUAUCAAGGGGAAUCUAAAACAUGAUCAAGCUUCAAAUGUUCUCAAUGAUAUUAUAGAAUUUCGGGAUGAUAUGCCCUCCAUUCUAGCUGAUGUGUUUUGCAUAUUAGAUAUUGAAACUAGUUGUUUAGAAGAAAAAAGUAAGAGAGAUCAGUUUAUGCAGUUGGUGUUAGCAUGUUUGUACUUGGUUUCGGAUACUAUACUAAAAGAGCGUCUAGAUCCUGAUACGUUGGAAUCAUUAGGGCUUAUCAAGCAGUCCCAACAGUUCAAUCAGAAAUCAGUGAAAAUCAAGACAAAACUUUUCUAUAAACAACAGAAAUUCAAUUUAUUAAGAGAAGAGAAUGAAGGUUAUGCAAAACUCAUUGCUGAAUUGGGACAAGAUUUGUCUGGAAGUAUCACUAGUGAACUUAUUCUAGAAAAUAUCAAAUCUUUAAUAGGAUGUUUUAACCUAGAUCCUAACAGAGUAUUGGAUAUUAUCUUAGAGGUCUAUGAAUGUAGGCCAGAAUAUGAUGAAUUCUUUGUACCUUUGAUUGAAUCCUACAUGUACAUGUGUGAACCUCAAACUCUUUGUCAUAUCCUUGGGUUUAAAUUCAAGUUCUAUCAGGAGCCAAAUGGAGAGACACCGGUCUCUUUAUAUAGGGUUGCUGCAGUUCUUUUGCAGCAUAACUUAAUAGACCUGGAAGACCUUUAUGUACAUCUCCUUCCAGCGGAUAGUGCAAUUCUUGAAGAACACAAGCGAGAAAUUGGGGAAGCUAAACAAAUUGUACGGAAACUUACAAUGGUGGUAUUGUCUUCUGAAAAGACAGAAGAGAAAGAAAAGGAAAAAGAGAAGGAAGAGGAAAAAACGGAAAAGCCACCCGAUAAUCAGAAACUUGGUUUAUUAGAAGCAAUGCUAAAGAUUGGUGAUUGGCAGCAUGCACAAAGCAUUAUGGAUCAGAUGCCUCCAUUUUAUGCAACAUCACACAAAUCUAUUGCGGUUGCUCUUUGCCAGCUUCUUCAUGUGAUGAUCGAACCCCUUUAUCGAAGAGUUGGAGUUCCCAAAGGUGCCAAAGGGACGCCAAUCUCUCCUUUGCAGAACAAGAGAGCACCCAAACAAGUAGAGAGCUUUGAAGAUUUGAGAAAGGAAGUCUUCAGCAUGCUUUGUUACCUUGGCCCACAUCUCUCCCACGACCCCAUAUUGUUUGCAAAAGUGGUGCGUCUUGGGAAAGCAUUUAUGAAGGAGUACCAGUCUGAUGGAGGCAAACAAGAUGAUAAAGAUAAAAUGGAAGUAUUAUUCAGUUGCUUACUAAAUAUUACCGACCAGGUUUUACUUCCUUCUCUUUCCCUGAUGGAGUGUAACGCAUGUAUGUCUGAAGAACUCUGGGGGAUGUUUAAGACAUUUCCAUACCAGUACCGGUACCGUCUUUAUGGUCAGUGGAAGAAUGAAACUUACAAUAGCCAUCCCUUAUUAGUGAAAGUUAAAGCGCAGACCAUUGACAGAGCCAAAUACAUUAUGAAGCGUUUGACCAAGGAAAAUGUAAAGCCUUCUGGAAGACAAAUUGGGAAACUAAGCCACAGCAACCCAACCAUUUUAUUUGACUAUAUUUUGUCUCAGAUACAGAAGUAUGAUAACUUAAUAACUCCAGUUGUUGAUUCAUUGAAAUACCUCACUUCAUUAAACUAUGAUGUCUUGGCAUAUUGCAUAAUUGAAGCACUGGCUAAUCCGGAGAAGGAGAGAAUGAAACAUGAUGACACUACAAUCUCCAGUUGGCUUCAAAGUUUAGCUAGUUUCUGUGGUGCUGUUUUUCGAAAAUAUCCUAUAGAACUGGCUGGUCUGCUUCAGUACGUAGCAAAUCAACUAAAGGCUGGGAAAAGCUUUGACCUGCUUAUUUUGAAAGAAGUGGUACAAAAAAUGGCUGGAAUAGAAAUCACGGAAGAGAUGACAAUGGAGCAGCUAGAGGCCAUGACUGGAGGAGAGCAGCUGAAAGCAGAGGGUGGAUAUUUUGGCCAGAUCAGGAACACUAAAAAAUCAUCUCAGAGACUAAAAGAUGCACUUUUGGACCACGACCUUGCCCUUCCCCUGUGCCUUCUCAUGGCUCAGCAGAGAAAUGGUGUGAUCUUCCAAGAAGGAGGAGAGAAACAUUUGAAGUUAGUGGGAAAACUCUAUGAUCAGUGCCAUGAUACUUUGGUGCAGUUUGGUGGGUUUCUAGCCUCCAACUUAAGCACAGAGGAUUAUAUUAAACGAGUGCCUUCCAUUGAUGUUCUCUGUAAUGAGUUUCACACCCCUCACGAUGCUGCAUUUUUCCUUUCAAGACCUAUGUAUGCACACCAUAUUUCGUCAAAAUACGACGAACUGAAAAAAGCCGAGAAGGGGAACAAGCAGCAGCAAAAAGUUCACAAAUACAUUACAUCCUGUGAGCUUGUGAUGGCUCCUGUUCAUGAUGCAGUGAUCUCCUUGCACCUCCCAAAGGUCUGGGAUGAUAUCAGUCCACAGUUCUAUGCUACAUUCUGGUCACUGACCAUGUAUGACCUGGCUGUGCCACAUAGCAGCUAUGAACGAGAAGUCAAUAAACUCAAAGUCCAGAUGAAGGCUAUUGAUGACAAUCAGGAAAUGCCUCCAAACAAAAAGAAAAAAGAGAAAGAGCGCUGCACGGCCCUUCAGGAUAAGCUCCUUGAAGAGGAAAAGAAACAGUCGGAACAUGUGCAAAGGGUGCUGCAAAGGCUGAAAUUGGAAAAGGAUAAUUGGCUUCUUGCAAAGUCCACCAAAAAUGAGACCAUAACAAAAUUUCUGCAGUUAUGUAUAUUUCCUCGCUGUAUUUUUUCUGCCAUUGAUGCUGUUUACUGUGCCCGGUUUGUGGAAUUGGUGCAUCAACAGAAAACACCAAAUUUUUCCACACUUCUUUGCUAUGACAGAGUGUUCUCUGAUAUAAUCUAUACAGUUGCAAGCUGUACUGAAAAUGAAGCUAGUCGAUACGGCAGGUUCCUGUGCUGUAUGCUAGAUACUGUAACACGAUGGCAUAGCGAUAGAGCCAUUUAUGAAAAGGAAUGUGGCAACUAUCCAGGUUUCCUUACUAUCUUACGGGCAACUGGUUUUGAUGGCGGGAACAAAGCGGACCAGUUAGAUUAUGAGAAUUUUCGGCAUGUAGUACACAAAUGGCAUUAUAAAUUAACGAAGGCGUCUGUACACUGCCUCGAAACGGGUGAAUACACACACAUCAGAAAUAUCCUGAUUGUGCUGACUAAAAUCCUGCCGUGGUAUCCCAAAGUUGUAAAUUUAGGCCAGGCCUUGGAACGAAGAGUCCAUAAAAUCUGCCAAGAGGAGAAAGAAAAGAGACCCGAUUUAUAUGCAUUAGCUAUGGGCUACUCUGGACAGUUGAAAAGUAGAAAACAUUGCAUGGUCCCUGAAAAUGAUUUCCACCACAAGGAUCCACCCACCAGGAAUGCAGUACCUACUACAGUGCAGAACGGGCCGGGUGGAGCAGGGCUGCCUCCAUCGCUCACAAUCAAUGCAGCUAAACUAGAAGAAAGCACUACUGAGGAGACAGAUAAAUUAAAGGAGAAAUCUCAGGGUGCUGUUAAAGUGAUUAAUAAAGCUGCCAAUGCAACACCAAAGGUGACCACAAGCAACGGGAACAGUGCAUCUAACAGCAAAGUUAUAAAAGAAAAAGAAGACAAAGAGAAAUGCGGGAAGGAAAAAGAGAAGGAGAAAAAAGAGAAGACUCCAGCUGCCACUCCUGAGGCCAAAAUACUUGGAAAGGAUGGGAAAGAGAAACCAAAGGAAGAGCGGGCAAACAAAGAAGACAAGCUAAGAGAUACUAAGGAGAAGACGCCUAAAUCUGAUAAAGAGAAAGAAAAAACCAAGAGAGAAGAGAAAUCCUCGAAGGAUGAAAAAUCCAAGAUUACUGUGACCAACACUGAGUCAAAAUCAGCUGUAGAAAAGGAGAGAGAGAAAGAGCCAUCCAGAGAAAGAGAUGUAACCAAGGAUGUGAAGUCCAAGGAAAACAUUAGAGGAGGAGAGAAGACGCCCGUUGCUGGGUCCUUGAAGUCACCCGUUCCCCGAUCGGAAACAUCAGAUUCUGAAAGGGAACAAAAACGUCGCAAAGUUGAUACCCAUUCUUCUCCAUCACAUUCCUCAACAGUAAAGGACAACCUCAACGAACUCAAGGACUCUUCAGCAAAGCACUACAUUAACCACUCUACUCCAACACUGUCCAAGAGUAAGGAGAGAGAAGUGGAGAAGAAAGAUCUGGACAAGUCAAGAGAAAGAUCCAGAGAAAGAGAGAAGAAGGAUGAAAAGGAAAGGAAAGAUCGAAAAAGGGAUCAUUCAAAUAGUGACCGCGAAGUGCCCCAGGAUUCAACUAAACGUCGGAAAGAGGAAAAUGGAACAACUGGUUCCUCAAAACAUAGUAAGAGUGAAAGUCCUUCUGAUUCUCCUCGCUCUAGUGAAAAGGAGAAGGAAAAAAAUAAAUCCAAAACAUCAAGCAAAGAAAAAGGAGAUUCAAUCAAAGUGGAAAAGAUGGAGAAAAGCUCAUCUGGGAGCAAAAAGGAGUCCAGACAUGAUAAAGAGAAAACAGAGAAAAAAGAAAAACGAGACAGUACCGGGGGGAAAGAAGAAAAAAAACAAUAUCCUUUCACUGUGUCACUCUUGGCAAUGUGCAGUUAUUUUUCUAGGAACGUUUCUUUCCAAAAGUAUUUCCCUUAAUCUUUGAUCUACUCAUAAAUCUUCAGACAAGCACAGAUAAUGAACACUGUUCUGACCAAGGCAAGGUUCAAGUUGGGAAGAAAUUGAGCUGUGACCAGAAAUGUAUUUUCCAGAAUAUAGAUUGCACAGAAAAUCGUAAUGAAGAGAACCCAUCUGCAUCUCCUUAAAUUAUUCAGUUCUCUGCUUUAUUUUCCUCCCAUGGCUGAAGAUUUGAUUGUUGAGUUGUACAUUACUGUAUUUUUAACUCGUCGCUUAGUUUCUUACGCAUUUAUUUUCAGUACCUGGCUGAAAGUGUUACAUGUUCCAUAUUUUUAGCACAAUGUGCUGCAAACAGUUGCCAUCGUGCAAAUGAGGUUUUCAUGUGUACAGAGUUCCAUGUUAGGUUAUCAAAAUACUGCCUGAGUUUAGUCAUCUUUUUCAAUUGGAAAUGCAUUAUUUUAGGUGUUUGAAAACCAACAAAUAAACAGUUAUUUGAACCUUUGGAAUUUACCUCAUUUAAAAUCCAAUUUUUAUUUAUUUGUUUUUAAUAUCAAUAACUAAAACCAAGUGGGAACACUGUUUUGAUGCAGUGCUUAGGAAUUAUUUGUAUAUUAUGUGAACAAUAUUGACCUGUUUAAAAAAAA